This 2676-nucleotide long non-coding RNA is filed under the name Homo sapiens (human). RNAcentral describes it as "HSALNT0323200". Lineage: Eukaryota; Metazoa; Chordata; Mammalia; Primates; Hominidae. The record is from RNAcentral.
CUUUUGCCUGCGGCCACCUAAGACGUAACUUUGCUCCUUAUUCGCUUUCCGCCAUGAUUGUGAGGCCUCCCCCACCAUGUGGAACUGGCAUUCCAUGGUCCAAACCACCAUUUUAUAAAAGACAACAUGAAAACCAGAAGCAGGGCACUGGCUGCCAAUUUGACGUAAGAUAACUGGAAGGAAAAUGCUGAUGACUUAAAGUAUGUGAAAUUUUGGCAAGGCUGCCAAGACCAUUCAACAAAAAGGACAAUCGUUUCAGUAAAUGAUGUUGGAAAAAUACCCACGUACAAAAAAAUAAAGUUGGAGCCUUGCUUUAUACCAUGCACAAAAUUAACUCAAAAUGAAUCAAAGACCUAAACAUAAUACUUAAAAUUAUAAAACUCUCAGAAGAAAACACAGGGAAAAAGUUUCAUGAUAUUGGAUUUGGCAAUGACUUUGUGAAUAUGAUACUAAAAACACAGAUAUCAGAAGAAAUAGAUAAAUUAGACUUGAUCAAAAUUAAAAACUUUUAGGAAUCAAUGGACACUCAAUAGAAUAAAAAGACAACACGUGGAACUGGGGGAAAUAUUUACAAAUCUACAUUUGAUCAGGAGUUGAUAUACAGAUUAUAUAAAGAACUUUUAUAACUCAGCAACAAAGAACCAAUUUAAUUAAGAAAUGAGGAGAAACAGGACAAAAAUGUCCAUUCUCAUAACUUCUUCUCAACAUAGUACUUGAAAUCAUGGCCAGAGCAGUUAGGCAAGGGAAAGAAUCAGAAGGUAUCCAAAUUGGAAAAGAGGAAGUUAAAUUGUCCCUGUUUGCAGAUGAUAUGACUUUAUAUAUAGAAAACUCUAAAAAUUCCACCAAUAAAACUCUCAGAACUGAUAAACAAAUUCAAUGAAGUUGUAGGAUACAAAAUCAACAUACAAAAAUCAGUAGUAUUUCUAUGCUAGGCUUGAUGGCUCAUGCCUGUAAUCCCAGCACUUUGGGAGGCUGAGGUGGGUGGAUCACAUGAGGUCAGGAGUUUGAGACUAGCCUGGCCAACAUGGCCAAACCCCAUCUCUACUAAAAAUACAAAAAUUAGCCCGGCAUGGUGGUGCGUGUCUGUAAUCCCAGCUACUCAGGAAGCUGAAGCAUGAGAAUCACUUGAACCCAGUAUGUGGAGGCUGAAGUGAGCUGAGAGCGCACCAGUGCUCUCCAGCCUGGGUGACAGAGCAAGACUGUCUCAAAAAAAAAAAAAGGCUGGGAAAAUUGGAUAUUCACAUGCAGAAGAAUGAAACUGAACCCCUAUCUUUCACCAUAUAUAAAAAUCAACUAAAAAUGAUUUAAAGACUUCAGUAUAAGACCUGAAACUAUAAAGCUACCAGAAGAAAACAGGGAAGACACUUCAUCAGCCUGGGCAAUAUGGCAAACCCCAUCUCUACAAAAAAUACAAAAAUUAGCCAUGUGGGGUGGUGCAUGCCUGUCAUCCUAGCUACUUAGGGAGUUGCGGUGGGAAGAUCUCUUGAGUCCAGAAGGCAGAGGUUGCAGUGAGCCAAGAUCACGGCAUUGCACUCCAGCCUGGGUGACAAAGGGAGACCCUGUCUCAAAAGAACAAAAGCAAAACAAAACAAAACAGAAACACUUCAUGACAUGAGAUUAGGCAAGAAUCUUUUGAAUAGGACCUUAAAACAUAAACAACAAAUACAAAGAUAAAGACAUGGGGUUACAUCAAAUUACAAAGGUUCUGCCUGGUGAAGGAAACAACAGAGUGAAAAGACAACCUGUAGAAUGGGAGAAAAUAUUUGCAAACUAUGCAUCUGACAUGGGGUUAAUAUCCAGAAUAUAUAAGGAACUCAAGCAACUCAGCAGCAAAAAACAAACAAUUCAACUACAAAAUGGGCAAAAGACCAUGUUGAUUCAGCAUUAUUUACAGUAGCCCAGAUAUGGGCUUAACUUAGGUGUCUAACAAUGGAUGAAUGGAUAAAAUGAUAAAUUGAUAAAAUAAAUGUAUAGUUAUGCACUGCAUUACAGCAUUUCAGUUAAUGACUGACCAGAAAUGUGACGGUGGUCCAAAAAGAUUACAAGGCAGCUGAAAAAUUCCUAUCACAGUGACAUUGUAGCUGUCAUAACAGUGUAACACAAUUACUUUAUUUUUAUUUUUUUUAUUAUACUUUAAGUUUUAGGGUACAUGUGCACAACGUGCAGGUUUGUUACAUAUGUAUACAUGUGCCAUGUUGGUGUGCUGCACCCAUUAACUGAUCAUUUACAUUAGGUAUAUCUCCUAAUGCUAUCCCUCCCCCCUCCCCCCACCCCACAACAGGUCCUGGUGUGUGACGUUCCCCUUCCUGUGUCCAAGUGUUCUCAUUGUUCAGUACCCACCUAUGAGUGAGAACAUGUGGUGUUUGGUUUUUUUUGUCCUUGCGAUAGUUUGCUGAGAAUGAUGGUUUCCAGCUUCAUCCGUGUCCCUACAAAGACAUGAACUCAUCAUUUUUUAUGGCUGCAUAGUAUUCCAUGGUGUAUAUGUGCCACAUUUUCUUAAUCCAGUCUAUCGUUGUUGGACAUUUGGUUUGUUCCAAGUCUUUGCUAUUGUGAAUAGUGCCGCAAUAAACAUACGUGUGCAUGUGUCUUUAUAGCAGCAUGAUUUAUAAUCCUUUGGGUAUAUACCCAGUAAUAGGAUGGCUGGGUCAAAUGGUAUUUCUAGUUCUAGAUCCCUGA